RNAcentral lists this ribosomal RNA (446 nucleotides) under uncultured bacterium. RNAcentral's name for it is "bacterial SSU rRNA". It matches the Rfam family "Bacterial small subunit ribosomal RNA", at positions 330 to 792 of the family's 1533-position model. The record is from RNAcentral.
ACCAGACUCCUACGGGAGGCAGCAGUAGGGAAUAUUGGGCAAUGGGCGCAAGCCUGACCCAGCAACGCCGCGUGAAGGAAGAAGGCUUUCGGGUUGUAAACUUCUUUUGACAGGGAAGAGUAGAAGACGGUACCUGUCGAAUAAGCCACGGCUAACUCCGUGCCAGCAGCCGCGGUAAUACGGAGGAUGCGAGCGUUAUCCGGAUUUAUUGGGUUUAAAGGGUGCGUAGGCGGAAUGCCAAGUCAGCGGUAAAAUCGCGGGGCUCAACCUCGCUCCGCCGUUGAAACUGGCGUUCCUGAGUGGGCGAGAAGUAUGCGGAAUGCGUGGUGUAGCGGUGAAAUGCAUAGAUAUCACGCAGAACUCCGAUUGCGGAGGCAGCAUACCAGCGCCCGACUGACGCUGAAGCACGAAAGCGUGGGUAUCGAACAGGAUUAGAUACCCUAGUA